GAUGAACGCUGGCGGCGUGCCUAAUACAUGCAAGUCGAGCGAACAGAUAAGGAGCUUGCUCCUUUGACGUUAGCGGCGGACGGGUGAGUAACACGUGGGUAACCUACCUAUAAGACUGGGAUAACUUCGGGAAACCGGAGCUAAUACCGGAUAACAUUUGGAACCGCAUGGUUCUAAAGUGAAAGAUGGUUUUGCUAUCACUUAUAGAUGGACCCGCGCCGUAUUAGCUAGUUGGUAAGGUAACGGCUUACCAAGGCGACGAUACGUAGCCGACCUGAGAGGGUGAUCGGCCACACUGUAACUGGGACACGUUCCAGACUCCUACGGGAGGCAGCAGUAGGGAAUCUUCCGCAAUGGACGAAAGCCUGACGGAGCAACGCCGCGGGAGUGAUGAUGGGUUUCGGCUCGUAAAACUCUGUUAUUAGGGAAGUACAAACGUUUAAGUAACUGUGCACGUCUUGACGGUACCUAAUCAGAAAGCCACGGCUAACUACGUG
This 497-nucleotide ribosomal RNA is filed under the name uncultured bacterium. RNAcentral describes it as "partial 16S ribosomal RNA". It matches the Rfam family "Bacterial small subunit ribosomal RNA", at positions 28 to 507 of the family's 1533-position model. The record is from RNAcentral.